This 4444-nucleotide long non-coding RNA is filed under the name Gossypium barbadense (sea-island cotton). RNAcentral describes it as "long non-coding RNA (GBAR_LNC000913)". The record is from RNAcentral. Lineage: Eukaryota; Viridiplantae; Streptophyta; Magnoliopsida; Malvales; Malvaceae.
UGUGAAUUGAAAAUUGAUUGAAAAGUGGAAAAUGAUUGAAUUGAAAAUGUGAGAAAUUGUGACUGAAUUGAGAUUUAUAUGUGAUCCGGAAACCCUAUUAACUAGUCUGGCUGAGUCGGAUAUAGUUGGCAUGCUAUAGGAUUGGAAGUGUCCAGAGAUACUUUGACCUUGAGUUGAUGAGACAUUGGGUGUCAUACUGUUACUCCGGAUAGAUUCGAUGAGGUACUGGGUACUACUUUACUCCGGCUAGGCCGAUGAGACACUGGGUGUCAACUUUGCUUCGAACUAUCCGAUAAGGCACUGGGUGCCAAAAUGGUGUGUUUGGUUGGAUCCGUGUAUCCACCAAAGUCCGAGUCUGUUAAUAAGGGUAAUUAAAAGAAAAGUUAAGUUGAAUAAAAGGAAUUAGUUGAGCCAUUGAAAGAAAUGUGAAAAUGGAACAUGAAAUGAAAAUGUGAUUUGAAUGUGAGUAUGAUAAUAGAAAGCAUGAACCAAUGCUUUAUGAAUUAGAUAAUGGCUCAACUUGAAUGUAUAUGAUUUUAAUUGACGAAUAGCUAAAUUAAAUUGUAUGAAUAUAUUGAGAAUGGAAAAUUUAUGUUUGAAUUGGUUUAGUAAAUAUUAAAGUUAUAUGAUUUAAUUUAUAUGAUUACUAUGUUUAUAAUUUGAAUUAUGGUAAUACCACUGAGUAUGAAAUACUUAGCGUACGGUUGUUUCCAUGCGCAGGUUAAUAGAAGUCCAGUGUCCUAGUCCAACAUCCAAACGAUCCCGACUCCAGUAAAAAAAUUUUGGUAAUAUUUUCUUCCCUUAAGUGAAAAUGGCAUGUACAUAGGAAUUUUAAUGGUUAUUUUGGUAUGUUAUAUUAUUUUUGUUGUAAAGAAAGGUAUUUGGUAUUUUGAUGAUUAAAUUAAUGAAAUGAUAGAACUUGUUAUAGCAUUGAUAUUGAAUUGAAAUGGUUUGAAUAGUUUUAAGAGCUAAUUAAAAAUGAUAGUUUACUUAAGUUGUUGAGUCAAUAUGUCAAGUAUGAUUCAAGUAUAUUUGAGUAUAUAAAUGCAUUGGUUGAAAUACUGGAAUUGGUUUGGUUGCGAUUUGAAAAUUGCAGGGAAUGUUAUAUAUUUAUAAAGGGUUAUAUUGAAUUUAAAAAAAUAAAAAAAUCAAUUAGUAAAAGUUUAUAUGAAUUUAUGAUUAUUUUAUAACAUGUUUAUUAUUUAUUUAAGAAUUAUUUGUAAAUUGUCCGAUAUGUCCAAUAAUGCCUCGUAACCUUAUUUCCUUGACGAUUUAGGGUUAGGGGGUGUUACAAUGAUAACUUCUUAAACAGUUCACUGAGGAGGAUAUUGGCUAUGCUUUCAAGACGAUGACACCCUUAAAGGUCCCCAGUGUUGACGGUUUUCCCACAAUAUUUUUUCAAAGGUACUGGCAUAUUAUUGGGCCUGAUAUUUCUACUUACUAUUUAUCUGUCCUGAAUGAUGAAUCUAAAUAAGGAGAGAUUAAUAAAACCUGUAUUGUUUUGAUUCCAAAAGCUAAGAAACCAAAAAAUCUCUCACAAUUUCGACCUAUAAGUCUUUGUAACAUAGUUUACAAAAUUAUUGCGAAAGUCUUGGUGGAUCAUAUGAGUGCAAUUUUGGGAAGUUGUAUAAAUGAAGCUCAAAGGGCUUUCAUCCCAAGAAGACAUAUUUCAGAUAAUGUGUUAAUUGUUUACGAAAUCCUUCAUUCUUUUAAAAUAAAGAAGAAAGGAAAAAAAAGGGAAUUUUACGCUUAAGCUCGAUAUGAGUAAAGUGUACGAUCAUGUUGAGUAAGAUUUUUUGGCUUGAAUGAUGACUUGUUUGGGUUUUCAUGCUGAUUGGGUUGUCCUCAUUAUGAGAUGUGUUUGUUCUAUCUCUUAUUCUGUGAGUCUUAAUGGGGCUAAUAGUGAGUGGUUCUCACCUUCGCGAGGUUUAAGAUAGGGCGAUCCACUCAGCCCUUAUCUUUUUUUAAUUUGUGCUGAGGGUUUUUCUACACUGCUUAAUGAAGCUAAACAUAAAGGGCUGAUGCGGGGUGCUCCUAUUGGAAAGGAAAGAUUUUCGAUUAAUUACUUGUUUUUCGCGGAUGACUACAUUCUUUUUGGGGACGCUUUAAGUGAGGGAGCUAGUGUGGUUUGAAAUAUUAUUCGGGAGUAUGAGAUGGUUUCGGGACAACGAGUGAACUUUGAUAAAUCUCUUAUGUACUUUGAGGUUAAUGUGGAAUCUAAUGUCAGGGAGACUAGAACCAACCUAUUGGGAGUUCAGGUGGCUUCAAAUCCUAAGAAUUAUUUAGGUGUACCAAUGAUGGUUGGACAGAAAAAGACAUGGGCUUUUGCUAACUUUGUUGAUCGGUUCAGGAAAAGAAUUGAUGGAUGGAGCUUGCGCUAUCUCUCAAUGGGGGGCAAGGAGGUUUUCAUUAAGUCGGUUUUACAGGCUAUACCAGUUUAUGUUAUGCAAUGUUUUACUUUGCCGAAAUCUUUAUGUCACAAGUUAGAAGGCAUAAUGAACAAAUUCUAGUUGUCUAAUAAUAAAUCUGCUAAAGGUAUUCAUUGGAGUAAUUAGGAUGCUUUGUGUAAACUGAAAUGUGUUGGUGGGCUGGGAUUUAAAAAUCUAUUUUUGUUUAAUAAGACAUUAUUAGCAAAACAAGUUUAACGUCUUUUAUCCCAACCUAAAUGCCUUUUAGCUAAAGUUUUAAAAGCCCGAUAUUAUCCCUUUUUUCAGAUAUCUUAUCAGCAAAGAUUGGUUCUUACCCAUCGUUUACCUGGAGAAGCAUUUAAGCGCUCGGGAUUUGAUUGUAGAGGGGAUACUUUGGCCUAUUGGCAAUGGUGUUCGUGUUAAUAUAUGGGAUGAUCAUUGGCUGCCUGGUUUAGGAAAUAUCAGAUUAUUAGUUAAGGAAAUUAAGCCUACUUGGACGAUUGUGAAUCAAUUAAUUGAGGUUGAGACUAAUACUUGGAACAAGGAUCUUGUUUGCAGUAUUGUUGAUAAUGAUCAAGCAACUUGUAUUUUCUUCAUUUCGAUUUCUGGUGCUAGAUCGAAAGAUAUGCUAGCCUGAAAACAUGAAGGCACUAGGGAGUACUCAGUGAAAAGUGGGUAUCGGGUCCUAGUUACAGAACAUCUAUAGAAUACUAAUUACAACUUCCCUAAUGCAGAAAACUACAAGGAUUUCUACAAAUCCUUUUGGUCUAUGCACAUCCUAGCUAAAAUAAAAAUACACAUAUGAAGGUUGUCUAAUAAUCUUGUGCCUCACUUCUGUAAUCUGUUUCAAAGGACUUUAAGUGUGGAUGUCAUCUGUCCUUUUUGCAAGGAAGCUUCAGAGGACUCUGACCAUUUGAUGUGGUCUUAUGGAAUAUUACAGUACGUUUGGGCUUCUCUUCAAAUCACGCCUGCUCUAGUCGAGUGUACCUCGAGUUGCAAAACUCGAUUUGUUAACACUUUCUCUGCAGUAGAUGAACACAACAGAUAGAUUAUUGCUAUUUCUUUAUGGGCCCUAUGGUAUCGAAGAAACAAACUUUUUCAUGAAGGUGUUAAGUUUUCUUUGCAGGAACUGUUACGAUUCAUUCAAUGCUACAAUCAAGAGAUAAGUUCAAGCCAUGAAAAACUCCAAGUUUUUUUCUAGAUCACUAUUGAAGGAGCUAUGGAGUCCCCCAAACAUCGGUAUUAUUAAGCUUUUGACGUGUCCUUUCAAAGUGACUUUAGAACCUCUAUUGCAGCAGUAUUAGCUAGAAAUUCUUAAGGUGAAAUUAUAGGGGUGUGUACUUAUCUUUUUGAAGAUGUUGUCGAUGCCUUUGUGGUUGAAGCAAGGGUAUGCGAAAGGGCUAUGAUUUUUGCGUCUGAAAUGGGUUUUCUGCGUCUUCUCUUGGAAGGGGACUCUCUGUCGGUAAUCAAAAAACUCAAGACAAAAGGGGAAGAUAAAUUGAUUCUCAGACUGAUUAUGCACCAUAUUCGUACAAUUGAAAAUAACUUCGAAGAAGCCUCUUACCUUUUUGUUCCUCGAACGGUUAAUAGAAUGGUCAUACCUUGGCUUUGGAAGAAAGGAGACGACAAAUCCCUUGCGUCUGGAUAGAUAGAGCUCCAAAAUCGGUGAGGACGACGGCGGAUAAGGAUCAGAUGGCUUGGAUUCAGAAUCGCCAAGCUUCUUUUUAGAAUCGCUUUGAAUAGGAAGAAGGUUCAAAGAAUCUCCAUCGAUGGGUUCAGAGCUUUUUACUUUUCUUCAGUUUGCUCAUCUCAAUUAUGCUUUUUGCAUUUAUGGAUUUUGUUGUUUUCUAUGUGCGAUUUUAUGACUUGGCUAUUGGCCUGCUGCGUUUUGUCUUUUCAUUUUUUCCUGUUUGUUGAGACUCUAUUUACACCACCUUGAGCCGUGUGCCUUGUGAUGGAUAUCAGUCACUUUUUGCAAAAAAAAAAAAACUUUAAAAGAUUUAUCACUUAAUAUCAACUUAAAAUAAAUUUUUAAA